This 834-nucleotide long non-coding RNA is filed under the name Daphnia pulex (common water flea). RNAcentral's name for it is "uncharacterized LOC124206111, transcript variant X1". Lineage: Eukaryota; Metazoa; Arthropoda; Branchiopoda; Diplostraca; Daphniidae. The record is from RNAcentral.
CUUGAAAUUCAAACAAGAGAAACUCAAAUAUUGGUUCUAAGCCCCACUUGAGAGUUGGCAGUUCAAAUUCAGAAAGUCAUUCUGGCUCUUGGUGAUUACAUGAAUGUUCAAUGCCAUGCGUGUAUCGGCGGCACUAAUGUUGGAGAGGAUGUUCGAAAAUUGGACUAUGGUCAGCACAUUGUUUCUGGAACCCCUGGACGUGUAUUUGAUAUGAUUCGCCGACGGACACUAAGGACACGUUCAAUUAAAAUGUUGGUCCUGGAUGAAGCCGAUGAAAUGUUAAAUAAAGGGUUCAAGGAGCAAAUUUACAAUGUCUACCGUUACCUUCCUCCAGCAACCCAAGUGGUUCUUCUUUCAGCCACAUUUCAUGACAGAUCCCAUUCGCAUUUUAGUCAAACGUGAUGAGUUGACACUCGAAGGAAUCUAACAGUUCUUUGUCGCAGCCGAAAGAGAAGAAUGGAGGUUUGACACGUUGUGCCAUCUUUACGAUACACUGACAAUCCCGCAGGCGGUUAUCUUUUGUAAUACUAAACGCAAGCCGAGUUCUUAUUACAACUGACGUUUGGGCUCGUGGUAUUGAUGUGCAACAAGUUUCGUUGGUCCCUAACAAACUGGCUGUCCUCAUUUAUCUAUAAUCCAUCUCGGAAAAGGAAACAAAUAAGUUGAUGCGUCAUGUUUUUAUUUUGCUGGAUUUUUCUUUCUGUAUCUCCAAAGAUUUCGACUUAUUAUAUGAAACUUGCGGCCGUGUAAUUGUCUUUUGCCAUUGUUGAAGUCUAUAAAUUUUACCUUAACUCGUAUAUCUGAAGUAAUAUAGGAACCUUUUUCCGUUUUGCG